GCCGGCGCGGGAGGCGGGAGGCGGCCGAGCUGUUUGUUCUCUGGGCGGGACGCGGGUGGGGCGCCCCUUCCUGAAACCCGAGCAGAGGCCCCCGCGGUGACCGCCCCGCUACUCCCUCCCGAGAACGGGCGCGUCCCAGACGGGCUGUGGCGCUGGGGCCCAGGAGACCCGCGGGACGCACGCGAGGAAACGACCGAGCGCGCGGCGGCGACCAGAGGGGGCGCUGCGCCCCGCUCCGCAGCCCUCCCGCCAGGCGUGCCUGCUGCUCUUCCUGGGCCUCGGCCCUGGGCAGGUCGGUCGCGGGCAGCCGCCGCCCCGUGCGGUUCCACGCGUCCUCGGCAUCCCGCAGAGCCGGCCGUCGCCCCUCCCGGGCCCGCCUGUGGUUCCGCACGCUCCAGGUGCACGGCUCGCACCGCGAGUGACCUGGGUCUGGCUUCUCCCCGCGAGGAAGCUUCUCUUGGGGAGAUGCUGAGACCGUGUCAAUGUCCUGGUGCUUCACAGAACCUUCAACCAUUAGUUUGUCAACCUGUGGUGCUUCCUGCCUGGAUCAGCCCUGAGGACUGUGGUCCCAACUGGACACUGAGUGAGACCUGAAAAGAAUGCCUGGGAAGUGCUCCGUGGCUUCCGCCUGGCGUAUCUGAAGGGCCAGAAUCACUACUCCUGUGUCCUGGGGGCAUUAAGUUAAAUGCAUGAACAGGAGCUCCGUGAUGCUUCAGCAGCUGAUCUGGUAACCAAGACGGCUACCCAGGACUCGCAGGUGGGCGGUGGACACAGUGUGGACGUGCCGGACAGCGGGAGGAUUCACGACCUGGGCAGGAUGCAGCAGGACAGCCCAAGACUUCACCAUGCUGCACAGGACGGAGCACAAUUUAAAACUCGUGGAUUGUUCAUUUCUGGAAUUUUGGACUGUGGUUGAUCCUAAGUAACCAAAACCAUGGAAAGUGAAGCCAUAAACAAGGGGUAGACUACUGUAUAACUUCCACCUCAUGGUCCAAGUUGACUGCUCCAGUCCGGCCGUUACAUCUGCCUUCCAGCCAGGAGCAAGGAGGGAAGGGGAGGUGUCAUUUCCUUUUAAGUGCCUGCGUGCCAUUGAUCAGAACUGAGAUGCAUGGCCACACCUAGGUGUAGCGGAGGCAGGGAACUUAGUCUUUAUUCUGGGUGUUCUUGAGCCCAACUGUAAAUCAGGGCUGGGGAAGAGUGAGUCGACUUCCCCAGGGGAAGUCCCUGGUGCCGGAUCUGCUCUUCCUGCAUCCUUCCUACAUCCACUUUCUCUCUCAAGUUCAUAAUCUAGACAGAAAAAAGAAAACCCUAAAGACAUGCAUCCGCUCACGACCUUCCCUUGCUCAAACUCUUCUGUGGCUCCCCAGUACUCUGAGUCAAAGCCACGCUUUGCAGCCUGCUGUUUGAGCCACGCUCUGGGCUCAGCCUCACCCCUUCCACCAGCACCACACCUUGCCCCAGCAGCUCUGCCUCCUCCUGCAUCUCCCAGGCUUUCCUGCCCCGUCUUUGUGCAGGGCUGUUCCCACAGUCUGGAGCUCCCUGUGACUGACGCUCCUUCCUGCAGGAAAGCCACCCCGCCCCAUCCCAGCUGGCAGGCAAGCUCACUCACUCCUCUCCUGUCCUGUCCCUCUGUCCCUCUCAUCCCCCCGACCCUGCUUCCUCUUCCCCUUUGCUCCCCAUUACUGAGCCCAGCACAGCGUGCUGCACUGGGGAGCCGUACUGACAAAAAUCCAGAUGGAACGAGGCGAUGGUCCCCGCUGCUCCGAUGGUGUUGCAAGUUAUUCCAGCACUGUGGCUUCAGACACAGACCAUGGUUACUUCCCGUGGGUCUGUGUCUGCACCGGGCUUGGUGGAGGCAGCUCCCUUCUGCUGCAUCUGCUGACAGUCAAGGCCAGCCGGAAGCUGGGGCAGCACCUGGGCUGGAGAGUUGGACAACCUGAGUCAAGAUGACGGGCGCCUCAGCCUCCUGACUCGAUUCCCGCUGACUAUCCAGCCCAGCUGCUCUGGGGCAUGUAGAUGUCUUUCUCAUGCUCCAGCAAAGGGCCCUCAAGGUGUGGCAUGUGCAGGGGGAGGUAGAGGCUGGGAGGACACACAGACUUACAUCAUGAUCACCUGUUGGACCACACACUCUCAAGGGGAGGGGACACAGAUGGCGCCUUUCCAUGGAGGAGACUUGAGGUCACAUUGUAGACCGUGCAUGUGGUCGGGAUAUACAAGUUGUCACCACCCUUCCAAAACCCAACCAGAGCCUGUCAUCCCAGACAUUCAGGAGGCCAAGGCAGGAGGACUGCAAGUUCAAGGUCAGCCUCAGCAACUUAGUGAGACCCUGCCUUAAAAUAAAAAUAAAAAAAUAAUAGCAACAAAAAAAGAGUUGAGAAUGUAGCUCAGAGGUAAAAUACCCUGGGUUCAAUCCCCAGGAAACCCCCCCCCCAAAAAAAAACACCCCAAAUUAAAACAAACCCCAAUCUGCCACAGAGCCAGCAUGGAACUGCACCCCUGCUGUGUCCAGAAGCAUCCAAGAGCUCCGCGUGCUCCUUGGUAUGCUUUGCCCAACUCCAGUGCCAUCCCCACUUUACAGACGGGGAGACCGAGGCACGGAGGAGAGCAGCUAGCCUGUGCACAGCUCGGAGCUGCAGGGCACCAGUCUUUAGCCCUGGGGUGUGCACGCUUCAGCUCCUCUUAGAGCCCAAGAUGUGGGGUGCUCCCUCAUUUUAGGAAGUGCUUUGGGGGAGCUGGGUGCAGAGUCUCUGAUGGAAAAGCAAGGACAGUGGCAGAGCCCUCUCAGCACCCAGGACAGCACCCCGUGCUCCUCAGGAGCUUGUCAAUGACAACAAUAGCCUGCCUGGAGUCUGAGGAGACAUUCCUGCAUUCCUGCAGUGUCUGGGAAUCAGGUCCUCAGAGCAGGGAAUUCCCACACCUCUCUCUCCUGACAAUGGUGACAGCCGAAAUAUUCUGGCACUCACUGAGGGUUACCUCUGGGUCCUGACUCGCUUCGUGUCAUUCUAAUGACUUCAAUGGCGGCAGCAGGCUGACUGUGGCCCACCACCUCUUUGUAUAAAUAAA
Molecule: long non-coding RNA, 3063 nt
Organism: Sciurus carolinensis (gray squirrel)
Lineage: Eukaryota; Metazoa; Chordata; Mammalia; Rodentia; Sciuridae
Exons: 3
Source: RefSeq, a predicted model, not a curated record